CCGGUUCCCGGAGAAGCAGGAUUUCCCUUCCCAGGUCUCUUCGUCCUUCCUCAGUCGCAGAAAGAAGCAGAGCUAUUCCGGGAUUAUCUGAAACAGAUAAGGGAGGAGACUAGUGGGAGACUCCUGAGCUGCGCUUACCGACCUAAUGGAACUCCAAAUAAAUGGUGGUUAGCGUUCGCUAAGAGAAAAUUCAUGAACACCAUUGUUCAAGAAUCUGG
This 218-nucleotide unclassified non-coding RNA is filed under the name Hevea brasiliensis (rubber tree). The record is from RNAcentral. Lineage: Eukaryota; Viridiplantae; Streptophyta; Magnoliopsida; Malpighiales; Euphorbiaceae.